Molecule: long non-coding RNA, 3010 nt
Filed under: Sus scrofa (pig)
Lineage: Eukaryota; Metazoa; Chordata; Mammalia; Artiodactyla; Suidae
Description: lncRNA (ENSSSCG00000052784.1)
Source: RNAcentral
AAAUUCCAAAUUAUGUUCCUUUUCCGUUACAGAUGGUGUGUCCUUUGGCAACUUAGAGCUUAAAGAAAUUUAGAAUUCCAUUUUCUCUGCUAGGUGUAUGUCACUGUUGUUCUUUCUAAAAUUGGCAACAUGUAGUUAAUCAUCAUUGCUAUUUAUACUGUAUACCUAUGAAAGGUAUGAUUGUUAUCUUUCAGAUGCAAACAUCUUUUCUUGCUCUCUCUUUAGAUAUAUGUAUGUGCAUAACAUAUUAGUUUGAAAGGUAUUUUUUUAAUAUUUCCAUUAAUAGUUUGUUUACAAAAUUGAAUGGUCAUUUACAGUAAAUUUAAAGGUACAACUUAUUUGAAAAGGAAAGAACUUAGUGUAGUUUUAUUGACUUUAUUACAUAGUCUUACCUUUUGAAAUAAUAUUGAACUUUAUAUUUCAAAGAUAUGUGAUCUGUAUUUAUUUCUCAAAAAAUUGAAUGCUGUUUCCAAAUUAAAUGGUAAUUGUAUUAUAUUUGCACUUAACACAUUUUGAAAUUUUGUAUGAGAUAAUUUCCAUUAUUUUGGUUUUAAUUCCAACAUUCUUGGGCAUACUUAUUUUUUACUAAAUAAGAUUGCAUGGUAAAUGUGAUACAAAGAGGUGUCAAUAAUCUGUACCAUAUACAAUUUUUAAGGCUCCUUGCCUUGUUUAUUUACUUUUGCAGAGUCAACUAUAAAAAGUAGAAUAAAUAUGUGAUAUGUCAUUCAUCAUUUUAAUAUUUUAAAUUUAGCAGCUGCCCUCCAAAAUAAUGAUUAAUAGUACAGAUAGAACUGAUUCCUUUUCUCUCCUAUAGUAUAAAUUUAGUUGUUAAUCCAAUAAUGAAACAUUUCCAUUACUUUCAAAUAUCAUUACAACUACUGUUUGUUAGUUUCAGUAACAAUCAGAGUUCCUCCUCAAAUGCUUAAAGGAUCUUCAUAGAUUGUUAUAAACAGAGUGCUCUAAUGGCUAGAAUUAAAAUGGCAGCAAAGACAAAUCAACAUAAAUGUAAUAAUUAAACCAUUACCUUCUUUACUAAGAAGAGAACAGAAACUCAAGUACAUUAAAAUAAUGUCCUGAAAGAUAUUGGAAGUGUAGCAAGCUGACAUUCAAACUUAAUAAGAUCUUACUAAUACAAUUUUGAAAAAUUUAUAUGGUUCUAUACAAAUAUGUUUCUAUUUAGUGCAAAAGAGAAUUUUUUAAUAUAGAAUUAAUCCGUUAUUUUUCUCUCUAACUUGCCAAAAUUCACCUAAAUAAAGGUGAAGUAGGAAAAAGAAAUAUUUGGGAUAAUGGCCAUAGCUAUCACUAGAUCCUUGAACAAUACCUUGCAAUUAGUAGACACUUCCCAAAUGAAUUAACAGACACAUAUUUAUAGAUACCUACAGCCUGAAGUGAAUUCAGUGAAUACUAUAAAGAUCCUAAAUUGUCUGUUAUGACACCAUUUACCCUGUUGUAAACUUGGAGGAUAGCUGAAAUAUCAAUAAGGAUAUUAGGCAACUGCUUAGUACCGUGGCAGGCAAAUUUAUAUUAGGGAACUAUUGAGGAUGCUAUUAGUGAAUUUUAAAUAUAUUUAUUAAAAAUAUUCUCCCGAUGGUUCCACUUUUAGUCCACUUUUCUAAAAAAUGGAAAUGAAAUGUGAGUACUAAGAUCUAACUAAAACUUAUCUCCAUUUUUUAUUUUAAUUAUUAAUUUUGCUUUGCUAGUAUAGUUGGCUAAGGUUUUUAAAAUAAUUAAGAAAAGUAAUGAUUGCUGUUCUGCUCUUACUUUAUUGUUCAGGGUUUGCCUCAGUCGAGACACUGGUAAAAAUUUCAGGCAUUUUACAGAUACACUCUUGGUGUUUUAAGCAUGGUGAGGUGUUUAUCUAUUUAGAAAGCUUUUCCGGGCACCAUGUGUUUUCCCCUGGGUGUGAGAAAAUCACUUCUUCCUUUUAAUGAGAAUGUUACCUCCAGGGAAAAAGUAAUCCAGAAGGAAUAAUACGUUCCUCAGGGCAGCUUCCUACACAGGGACAUGCAAUUCUCUGGGGCUGACUGCAUGUAUAUUUCAGUGGAAGAAUUUUAAUAUUUUAAAAUAUUGCAUUUAGUCAUAAGGCACCAUAACUAUAGAAUACAGUAUUUUUUGAAAUAUAUUGACAUAUUUUUCUAAGCUUUUUUAUACAUCAAUUAUAAUUUAGAAAAUUUUAUGUAUCAUUAAAAAUUUACCUGUCUUCAUAUUUGAAGUACAAUAAAAUAGGUCAUUAUUAAUAUAUGUAUUAUACAUAUUAUUAAACUUAGGAACAGAGAACAAGAGGCUUAAAUGAUGUGGUUUUAGAACAGCAUGUAUGGUCACCAAACAGCACAAUUUUAGAAGUCUUUAAGCUGUUUUGAUAACCAAAAUAUAAAGUAGUUCUCUCCAACCCAACUUACUUCAUUUUAACCUUGGUGAACAUUUGGAUGAUGAAGUAUUUUUUUGUUGGGUCACUUAGAAUAUUUUGAGGAGUUCAUAAUUUGAGAAUGUGAAGUUGUUUGACUUUGUAGCCACAUGUUUGAAUCCUUCAACAUUAUAUUUAAUAUUCAUAUAUUUCAAAAUUCUGUUAGGUCACUAUUUUUGCCCAUUAAGGAAUAUUGGAAUACAGCUAUAUUAACUCUGUGAUUUUAAAUACUUUGCUAUUUUUUCUUUUACAAAUACUUAUAAUUUUCUUUCCAAACUAAGAACCAAUUAGACAUUAAACAUAUAUUAAAAUACUAAGAUAUAUUGAUAUUAUGUUUUUCCUUGUAGAAGAUACACUCCCAUAGUCAACAACUACAGUAAAUAAAUACUUGAUUCAUAAGAUAUAGCAAUACUACAAUAUUUCAAUGGUAUCUGAUGAUAAAUAUGAAAAAUGCACUUCAGUUUGAGAAUACUAGCAUACUGUGAAAUAAUGAGGAAUAAAACUCAAAGAAGCACCUUUUAAAAAUACCUAAACUAAGGAGACGUCACUGCAAUGGCUCAGGUGACUGCUUUUGCCGGGGUUUGAUCCCUGGCCUGGGAACUUCCC